Molecule: long non-coding RNA, 874 nt
Organism: Gopherus flavomarginatus (Mexican gopher tortoise)
Lineage: Eukaryota; Metazoa; Chordata; Testudines; Testudinidae
Exons: 5
Source: RefSeq, a predicted model, not a curated record
CUCCGGCCAGGGGAGAAGGGCCAUGGAGCCAUCCCCCAUGGCUCAGGAUGGACAAGCUGGGGACAUAUCCCCUCCCCUAACUCUCAGCUGGAAGUAGGACGUGGGAAUCCAGAGCUCCUGAUUCUGGGACUUGUCCCUCUGCUUCUGAGAGUCAGGUCUGUCUCUAGGGGCCUGUCACGGAGGGUGGGGGAGUCCGGUCCUGCACCCUUGGGACUCACAGUGACUCUCUGCCAGCCAGUAAAACAGAAGGUUUAUUGGACAGCAGGAAUGCAGGUUACAGCAGAGUUUGUAGGCACAACCAGAGCCCUCAGUCAAGUCCUUCUGGGGGUUCAGGGUGUUUGGAUCCCAGCUUAGGAUUCCCUGAAUUCCAACCACCCAGCCCCAAACCCAAAUUGAAACUAACUCCCCUCCAGCCGGCCCCUCCCUUUGUCCCUCCUUUGUCUGGCUUCCCAGACAAAAGGUGCUGACACCCCUCCCCCCUACCUGGCUCAGGUUACAGGCCCAGGUCCUGUCCCUCACCUAAAGUCCUCCCUGGCUCUCCCAUCCCCCACACAGACAGCCCCUACUCCAUCACAGGGCCAUGCCAGGCUCUGGGCGGGGGGAGGCGCUAGCCAGGUCUGUGUCCGGGGGCCAUGCCAGGCUCUGGGCGGGGGGAGGCGCUAGCCAGGUCUGUGUCUGGGGCCGUGCCAGGCUCUGGGCGGGGGGAGGCGCUAGUCAGGUCUGUGUCUGGGGCCGUGCCAGGCUCUGGGCGGGGGGAGGCACUAGCCAGGUCUGUGUCUGGGGGCCGUGCCAGGCUCUGGGCAGGGGGAGGCGCUAGCCAGGUCUGUGUCCGGGGGCCGUGCCAGGCUCUGGGCAGGGGGAGCUGCUAGUCAGG